UUUUUUUUUUUUUUUUUUUUUUUUGAUAGCUACAAAGUAUUCCAUUAUAUGGCUGUACCUGACAUUUAACCAGCCUGUUCUUACAGUCAUUUAAGUGUUUCCAGUUUUUAGCAAUUAUAAAGUAGGUGGCAAUGAAUUCCUUUAUACCUACAUGGUUUCCUUCUUGUGGGACUAUAUCCAUUCUGUUAUGAGACUAGGUCAAAGUGAGUAUAUUUUACAUCUCAAUAGUUACUGCUAAAGUCCCUAAAAUCCCAGGAUCACAGAGAUUCUCGUCCAUACACAUUGCGUGGGAAUGCCUGUUUCCCCACUCUCUAAUUCUAAUAUCAUUAAACUUUCAAGGUUUUACCUCUCUGAUAAGUAUAUCAUACCUUUGUUGUUUUGCUCUCUAUUUUAUAAAAUAAGAGUGAGGUUAAGUAUCUUUUCCAUAUGCUUGUAACCAUUUAGAUUUUUUCUAUGUUGUUCCUAUUUUUAUUUCUCUGCUUUUGUCUAUUGAGUUAUUAACCUUAUUGAUUUGCAGUCUCUUUGCAUGUUGUCCCCUUAGCCCUUGAAACAAAUGUUUCGUCACAUAUGAAACAAACAUUUUCCCCAGGAUAUCACUGUUUAUAGUACCUUUUAUGAUACAAAGUUCUUAAUCAAUUGAUCUUUUAAGACUUUUGAACUUGGCUCCCCCUGGAAAUUCCAUUGUAAAAUUCUAGCCCCCUUUGACUGUCCUUCCCUCUUUAGCCAGAGAACUUCUGACACUGAUACCACAUAACUUUUUACAACGAGUCUAUGUUGCAACUAACACCAGCAGCCAAAGGAAAUUAAUCAUUUGGAAACAAGGCCAUAGGGCUUCAGUGGAUGCUUCAUAAGGUGAAAACCAUUGACUGAAUUUGGUACUGGUUCACUGGAUGUGUCCCACUGGUAGGUAAAGCCCUUUCCCUAGUAGGUGGUGUCAGGCUGGAAGUGUCCACAGUAUGGGACAAGUUAAGCAAGUACAUAAAUGCCACUACUUCUGAUCCCCAACUUCUGAGUUAUAGCAUGUGGAUGGUUUAAGCAGGUGCAGCCAUGCUAAUACACUAGCAGGGAGUGAUUGAUUUUGCCAGUGUCAAGUCCAGGCAGCAAGCAAGAUGAAUAAAAACAUUUCACCGGGGCACUGAGGGACCAACCAAGAUCCCCGGGCUCUGAAAGGUUUUUACGGAUCCAAACCCUAGAAAUUUUGAUGUAGAAAACCUAAUCUCAUGUUUCUCAGAGGAGGCAGGAUGCAGGCAGGAAUUUAAUUAUUGAUAAGAGCCUACAUUUUUCAACUCUCAUCACAACAAUCCCUGCACGGGAUUACGCAGCACUCUGUGCCAACUACAGGAGAAAGGUGAAGGUCACAGAGAACUUCUCGGGGACAUUUAUUUGUGGAUCUGAUGUGUCUACUCUGGGAUCUAUUUUCUUACCCAUUCAGGGUGGGCCCUUCCUUCUGUUCGACUGUCCAGGAUUUUUAAAACUCUCCUCUCUCCUUCUCAGGAGACGAAUGGUGUGCAAAGUGAAAAGGCAAUAAAACGUUAUCAAUUUCCCACUUGUCAGGCCUCUAUAGUAAGCCCGUUUCCUUCCUCUUUUUCUUACUUCCCUUCCACAAGGGAUCAUUCUAGGGAGAGAGAAGGAUGAAUUGCUUUAUUUUUUAUUUUUAGAAAUGCUGUUCUAGCCUCAUCAGCAAGAAUUGUUAGUAAAUAUUAAGAAGCAGGUUUCCCAUCCCUGUUAUUGAAAACAGCAAUGGAAGUAUUACACAGCUUUUGGAAGGCAGACCGUGGAAAGAAAAGCUAUGUACCCACCUCCACCCGCCAGAAACAUCAACUAGGUAACCUACUUUGAGAUUCUUUAACAAAAACGCUAAUGUAAAAUAGAAGUACUAUAUCCUACUACCUUCCAAGAAGAAAAGGACAUUUUAAAGUACAUAAACUUGAUGCUGAAAUGACUCAAGUAAAAUGACACUGGGUAUUUUUUUUAAGUCAUGAAACUAAGAAUUUUUGUGAAUAAUGCUGCUUAUGCAUAAAAGGGGAACAUAUAAGUUUGUUUAUAAAAAUAUCCAGUUUUGCAAAAACAACCUUUUAAACUUUUUAAACCUUUUAUGUCCAUUCAAGAAAACGAAACCUUUGACCCAUAAACACCAAAGCCAAUGUGACAAAUAUCCCUAAUGGACAGUAUUAAGCUGAAAAAUAAAAACAUAUUCUAUCAUAUUAACUAAAAAAAGUAAUCAUAUAAUUAAUAGGUGAAAAACAGAGAGAAAGAUUGCUGAAGAUUAAGAUGAAGCCCUGCAGAAGCGAAUGUUCUAACUAGAAAUUGGUUUAAUUAAUAGCACAUUUUACAUAAUGAUCACAGUGUAAUUGCGCUGACUAGCAGAGUGUCAUUAAAUAUAUCCACGCUCCUUUACAACACCCUAAGGCGAAAAAUAAUGAGUUACAUUGAAAAUCACUGUGCAACAGGUUCAUAAAUAACAUUUAAGCCUAUACAAGGCGAAUACUUAUAAAUAAUAAAUAUUUGCCUUUUGUAAUUGAAGAAAAAAUGACAGCCUUCUUUUUCUACUACCUUGUAGAUUGCCAUGUUAUAAUGCUGAAAAGAUUUUUUCCCCUUGCUUUCUCUAGAAGGUGUUGAAUAAUUUAUUCAAAUGCUAAUAUUCCACGUAGUCUGACUUUGAGGAACAAAUAUUCCUACAUAAAGAAUAAAUGCCAAGAUGCUUAUUACCUCCCUUGCUUUACGUUACACCAUGAAUCCCCCCAAAACUACCACAGUCCAUUACACCUGUCAAAGGAAGUUAGUGGCCAGAUUUUCUGGCAAAGAAGCGCAUUUUUCUUUAUGUAAAAAUUACCCCUUCUCCCCAAAUGUUCAUCGUGCUCAGGGUUGUUCCAGAGUAGCAGCUGCUCUGUAACUUCAGAAAAGAAGUCAAAGAUGCCUGAUGGCUUCUUAUACUCUCACUCUUCUCCUGAGAAUCAAUGACAUCUGAAAACCAUGGCUGCCCUUCCUUAUCUGUGCAGCUGACCCUGGCACGGGCUCAAAUCUGCAAAAGGUCCGUGUUCAUGAGCCUCAUUUUCUUCAUCUCCUCGGUUCCAAAACGAAGUCAUGUUCCUCCGAUGCCUGGGAGAAAGCAGAAAGCCAGGCAGCCUCAGGGAGGGCCUGGAAGCACCCUGGAACCGGACUUCCGGCCAGCGACUUCUCACCAAGGAUGGCAGGAAAGAGGGUGUCUCCAGGCUAUACAGAGAAUGAUUUGGUGGGCAAAGAUCCUACCAAGAAGGUGGACAGAGGCAUCCUUUGCUCUCUAGCAAAGGACACAAGAGGAAAAAGCCUCCAUCUCCCACUGUUCGGUUUCCCAGUGAGUGUGAAGCAGGUCAGAUAUCCUAUAUCCUGAAAACUCAAGAGCUCCCAGUGUGGGGGGGCCAUCAAGGAGGUUACUCUCCAAUGACUCUUUUCAGCAUAGGAUGGCAGCUCGGUCUUCUGUGGGAGGAGGUAGUAUUACUUAGUGAUGAAGAAAGGGCUUUGACAUGGGCCAGAAGUACUCAGUUCAGCUGCUGGGUUCAUUACUUCUUAGCUGUGUGACAUUGGGUAAGUCACUUAACCUCUCUGAGCCUCAAUUCCCAAAUCUGAAAAGCAGAAUGAGAAUAGUCUCUGCCCCCUAAGAUGGCUGUAAGGGAUAAGAUGAAAAAAAUUUAAAGUUUGUAAACACUUAGCCUAGUGCCUCCCAGUUAGUAACGCUGACUAAGUGGUAGUUAUUAUUUAUUUCAAGAUCAUAAAGCUUUUUCUCAGAGUUCCUGUUGUGGUUCAGUAGGUUAAGAAUCCGACUAACAUCCAUGAGGAUGUGGGUUGAGAUCCCUGGCCUCACUCAGUGUGUUAGGAUCCAGCAUUGCUUAUCCAUCUCCUGCUCACUUUCAUCCAAGGGUCCAAUUUCUUUGGAAGGAUGAAGGAUUGGGGUUCCUCUAUUCAACCCCACCCACUUGCAGAUCCAGAGCAGCCAGAGGGGACCCUUUCGUGAAACAAAUCAUAUUGCUCCCUUGAUUACAGCUGGCUGUGAGGUCUCAUGGGCCUUAGGGAACCAAAGGGCCAGAAUCCUUAUCCUGCAUGGUUUGGGCCCAGCCUCUUCAGCCUCAUGGCCAUUCAAGCCCUCAUGCUCAUUCAAGGCUUCAUGCUCUGUGCUCCAGGGAUCCUCAUUCUGUUCCCUCUGGCCCUAGGGCCUUUGCAGAUGCCUUGGUUAGGAACUCUCUUCUUACCCACUUUUUCAAAUUAGCUUUUCAGACCUCAGCUUAUACAGGGCUUCCUCAGGUAAAUCUUAGUUAACUCCCCAAACUAGUUCAGAUAUCCACCUCUUCCAGCUCCCGCCACAGUCCUUUCACAGGUUUUGUCAUCAGCGGGGGUAGUAUAUAUGUAGAAUUACCUAACAAAUGACUAUUGCCAUUAGUAAACUACACAUUCUAUGAAGGCAGGGACCAUGGCUGCUUGAGGCUCCUAAUGGACUUUGCAGGGCACCUGGCAGAUGGCCCUCAGCAAAUAUUUGGAGUGAAGGAAGGAAGGGCAGGAUGAACAAAUACCCAUUUCUACGGGAGAGUGAUUCACAUAUUUGAUGAUAAAUAUUUAGGCCUCUCUCCUUCGUUGAUUUAAUUGCCACAAGAUCAGGGAUCUUGGCCCCUCACCUGGUCUUCAUCACGUUGAGCUUUAGACCCUCCGCAGCCCUGUGCUCACAUGUGAGGGAGCCGAGGAUAGUGAAGGGAUUGCUUCCUGUGAUCAAAGACACCAUCCUUCUCCUAGUGCACCCAGAGGCCGUGUUAGCCUUAAAUAUGUGUGUCACAUACACACACACCACACACACACCACACACAGACACUGCUAUUUUGUUUAAAAAUAAUUUCAUGAGUUCCCAUCGUGGCGCAGUGGUUAACGAAUCCGACUAGGAACCAUGAGGUUGCGGGUUCGGUCCCUGCCCCUGCUCAGUGGGUUAAGGAUAUAGCGUUUUCGUGAGCUGUGGUGUAGG
RNAcentral lists this long non-coding RNA (4984 nucleotides) under Sus scrofa (pig). RNAcentral describes it as "lncRNA (ENSSSCG00000053137.1)". Lineage: Eukaryota; Metazoa; Chordata; Mammalia; Artiodactyla; Suidae. The record is from RNAcentral.